This 559-nucleotide ribosomal RNA is filed under the name uncultured bacterium. Its description in RNAcentral is "bacterial SSU rRNA". It matches the Rfam family "Bacterial small subunit ribosomal RNA", at positions 338 to 916 of the family's 1533-position model. The record is from RNAcentral.
CCUACGGGAGGCAGCAGUUAGGAAUAUUGGACAAUGGGGGCAACCCUGAUCCAGCCAUGCCGCGUGUGUGAAGAAGGCCUUAGGGUUGUAAAGCACUUUCAGCUGUGAAGAUAAUGACAGUAGCAGAAGAAGAAGCUCCGGCUAAAUUCGUGCCAGCAGCCGCGGUAAUACGAAUGGAGCGAGCGUUGUUCGGAAUCACUGGGCGUAAAGGGUGCGCAGGCGGUCAUGAAAGUUAGAAGUGAAAUCCCAGGGCUUAACCCUGGAAUGGCUUUUAAAACUCCAUGACUAGAGUACUGGAGAGGUUGGCGGAAUUCCGAGUGUAGAGGUGAAAUUCGCAGAUAUUCGGAGGAACACCAAUGGCGUAGGCAGCCAACUGGACAGUAACUGACGCUCAUGCACGAAAGCGUGGGGAUCAAACAGGAUUAGAUACCCUGGUAGUCCACGCCCUAAACGAUGUGUGCUAGUUGUCGGGUUCUUAGAACUCGGUGACGCAGCUAACGCUUUAAGCACACCGCCUGGGGAGUACGGUCGCAAGAUUAAAACUUAAAUGAAUUGACGG